GAAGCGGGAAAAGCUCAAAUUUGUAAUCUGGCACCUUCGGUGUCCGAGUUGUAAUCUCGAGAAGUAUUUUCCGCGCUGGACCGCACAUAAGUCUGUUGGAAUACAGUGUCAUAGUGGUGAGAACCCUGUAUAUGGUGUGGACACCCAGCGCUUUGUGAUAUACUUUCGAAGAGUCGAGUUGUUUGGGAAUGCAGCUCAAAUUGGGUGGUAAAUUCCAUCUAAAGCUAAAUAUUGGCGAGAGACCGAUAGCGAACAAGUACCGUGAGGGAAAGAUGAAAAGCACUUUGGAAAGAGAGUUAACAGUACGUGAAAUUGUUGGAAGGGAAACGCUUGAAGUCAGACUUGCAUUUUGGAGUUCAGCCGCAAGGUGUAUUCUUCGAUUCGCAGGCCAGCAUCAGUUUUCGGGGGUGGAAAAGCGCGGUUUGAAGGUAGCAGUUUCGGCUGUGUUAUAGCUUUCCGCUGGAUUCACUUUUGGGGACUGAGGAACGCAGUACGCUUUUUGCAAGACCUUCGGGUUUUUUC
This 522-nucleotide ribosomal RNA is filed under the name Microbotryum bosniacum. RNAcentral describes it as "LSU rRNA". It matches the Rfam family "Eukaryotic large subunit ribosomal RNA", at positions 95 to 619 of the family's 3401-position model. Lineage: Eukaryota; Fungi; Basidiomycota; Microbotryomycetes; Microbotryales; Microbotryaceae. The record is from RNAcentral.